GACGAACGCUGGCGGCGCGCUUAACACAUGCAAGUCGAACGGAAAGGCCCUGCUUUUGUGGGGUGCUCGAGUGGCGAACGGGUGAGUAACACGUGAGUAACCUGCCCUUGACUUUGGGAUAACUUCAGGAAACUGGGGCUAAUACCGGAUAGGAGCUCCUGCUGCAUGGUGGGGGUUGGAAAGUUUCGGCGGUUGGGGAUGGACUCGCGGCUUAUCAGCUUGUUGGUGGGGUAGUGGCUUACCAAGGCUUUGACGGGUAGCCGGCCUGAGAGGGUGACCGGCCACAUUGGGACUGAGAUACGGCCCAGACUCCUACGGGAGGCAGCAGUGGGGAAUAUUGCACAAUGGGCGGAAGCCUGAUGCAACAACGCCGCGUGCGGGAUGACGGCCUUCGGGUUGUAAACCGCUUUCGCCUGUGACGAAGCGUGAGUGACGGUAAUGGGUAAAGAAGCACCGGCUAACUACGUG
RNAcentral lists this ribosomal RNA (468 nucleotides) under uncultured bacterium. Its description in RNAcentral is "partial 16S ribosomal RNA". It matches the Rfam family "Bacterial small subunit ribosomal RNA", at positions 28 to 507 of the family's 1533-position model. The record is from RNAcentral.